RNAcentral lists this small nuclear RNA (102 nucleotides) under Eucalyptus grandis. Lineage: Eukaryota; Viridiplantae; Streptophyta; Magnoliopsida; Myrtales; Myrtaceae. The record is from RNAcentral.
GUCUUCUCAGAGACAUUCGAUAAAAUUAAAAUGAUACAACGAAGAUUAACGUGGCCCUUCGCGAAGAUGACGCAAACAAAUUGAGAAAUGGUUCUAUUUUUU